RNAcentral lists this transfer RNA (72 nucleotides) under Fukomys damarensis (Damara mole-rat). It matches the Rfam family "tRNA". Rfam says of the family: Transfer RNA (tRNA) molecules are approximately 80 nucleotides in length. Lineage: Eukaryota; Metazoa; Chordata; Mammalia; Rodentia; Bathyergidae. The record is from Rfam by way of RNAcentral.
GGAAGUGUAGCUCAGUGGCAGUAGAGCACUUGCUUAAUAUGCAUGAGGCCCAGGGUUCAAUCCUCAGUACCA